AGGACGAACGCUGGCGGCGUGCUUAACACAUGCAAGUCGAACGAGAUCUUCAGCAGUGGCAACACUGGUGAAGAUCUAGUGGCGAACGGGUGAGUAACACGUGAGCAACCUGCCCCGAAGACUGGGAUAACAGCGGGAAACCGCUGCUAAUACCGGAUAUCCCCAUCGGACCACAUGGCCCGAUGAGGAAAUGCCUGGUUCUUUAGAGUCAGACGCUUUGGGAGGGGUCGCGGCCGAUUAGUUAGUUGGCGGGGUAAUGGCCCACCAAGACGAUGAUCGGUA
Molecule: ribosomal RNA, 282 nt
Filed under: uncultured bacterium
Lineage: Bacteria
Description: partial small subunit ribosomal RNA
Rfam family: Bacterial small subunit ribosomal RNA
Source: RNAcentral